CUGCGAUUUGAUGAUUAUAAUCAU
Molecule: non-coding RNA, 24 nt
Filed under: Arabidopsis thaliana (thale cress)
Lineage: Eukaryota; Viridiplantae; Streptophyta; Magnoliopsida; Brassicales; Brassicaceae
Source: RNAcentral